UUAUAUGCAAAUAAGAGGUGUUGACCAGA
This 29-nucleotide non-coding RNA is filed under the name Homo sapiens (human). Lineage: Eukaryota; Metazoa; Chordata; Mammalia; Primates; Hominidae. The record is from RNAcentral.